Molecule: long non-coding RNA, 1126 nt
Organism: Glycine soja
Lineage: Eukaryota; Viridiplantae; Streptophyta; Magnoliopsida; Fabales; Fabaceae
Exons: 3
Source: RefSeq, a predicted model, not a curated record
UCCUGAAAGGGUAGGGAACACGUUAUUCCCUCUUCAGUCUCUCCGUUCUUUCACGCGACUUCCCUCUUCAACAACGCCACUCCCUUUAUCACGCCGGAGGCACGACGGAGGUGACGACCGGAGGACGGCGCUUCCUACUUCGUUUUCCGGCACGGUCCGAGUUCUCUCUUCACUCUUCAGUCUUCUCUCUCCCUUUUCCGGCACUGUCCGAGGCGGUCUCACUUCUCUCUCCCUUUUCCGACAAGGUCACCAUUGUUUGUGCGUUUUCCGGCGAAGUACUCUCCGUGAUUUUCGCUUUUUGCGCUUGAUUUCUCUGCAUUUUAUCUGUUAUGUAUUUUGAAAUUUGAUUUCUCCCCUAUUUUUGAAAUUUGAUAUAAAAAAAUUGAUGUUGUGUUAUGUUUUUUUAUGUUCUGACUUCUCAGUUCUCAUGUCCUGUUUUCUUUUCUCAUUUCUGAUGUUGUUAUUAUUGUGUGGUUGUGUUGCUUGAAAAAAUGUCUACAACUGUUGGAGGAGAGGGUCAGUUCUAGUGCUACUCGUAGAUUUGCUUCCUUAGAACUGUAGAUGAUCAAUAAAUCUUAAUUGUUGGAUUUUAUGUUUAAAUUACAAUAUUGUGUUUACUUUUUUAGCUAACCAUACAAUUUAUAUAAAUAAGUUUCCUUUUGAUAUUUUACCAAUGCAAAAGAAUAUCUAAUUUGUGCAGGCUGAUAAAAUAUGAGUUUCUACUCAUCAAUAUUGGUCUUACGUCCCUCAUUUUUUGUCAUCCUACUGGCUAUCUGUUGAGAAGCUAGCUUCCACUGUGCUUUGGAAACUCUCCACUCCAUGCAGCUAUACUGAAACGGAAUCCUGAUGGAUCGAAGUUGGAUGAAUGAAAGUCGCAUCAGCCCAGAAUAUGAGGAAGGCGUCGAGCAAUUCUUACAAUUUGCUUCACAAAGAGGUCAACCGGAUGAAGAUGAAAAAUAUUAUUGUCCUUGCAUCAAUUGUUUGAACGGAAGACAACAAAUACUGGAUGACAUACGAGAGCAUCUGUUGUGUGAUGGAAUUAAGAGAAAUUAUACGACGUGGAUAUGGCAUGGUGAAAUGACAGACAUGCAGAGUGGGCAACAAUCCGAACCGUUUGAUGUAGAAA